GAAACUGACAGAAGAGAGUGAGCACACAAAGGCACUUUGCAUGUCCGAUGCUUUUGCUUCUCUUGCGUGCUCACUGCUCUAUCUGUCAGAUUC
Molecule: microRNA precursor, 93 nt
Filed under: Camelina sativa (false flax)
Lineage: Eukaryota; Viridiplantae; Streptophyta; Magnoliopsida; Brassicales; Brassicaceae
Description: miR156c stem-loop (cas-MIR156c)
Gene: cas-MIR156c
Rfam family: mir-156 microRNA precursor family
About the family: This family represents the plant microRNA (miRNA) precursor mir-156.
Source: miRBase by way of RNAcentral